CUACGGGUGGCAGCAGUGAGGAAUGUUGCACAAUGGGGGGAACCCUGAUGCAGCAACGCCGCGUGGAGGAUGACGCAUUUCGGUGUGUAAACUCCUUUUAUAUGUCAAGAAAAUGACGGUAGCAUAUGAAUAAGCACCGGCUAACUCCGUGCCAGCAGCCGCGGUAAUACGGAGGGUGCAAGCGUUACUCGGAAUCACUGGGCGUAAAGGACGCGUAGGCGGGUUGGAAAGUCAGGUGUGAAAUCCUACAGCUUAACUGUAGAACUGCACUUGAAACUUCUAAUCUAGAGUAUGGGAGGGGGAGAUGGAAUUAGUGGUGUAGGGGUAAAGUCCGUAGAUAUCACUAGGAAUACCUAAAGCGAAGGCGAUCUCCUGGAACAUUACUGACGCUAAGGCGUGAAAGCGUGGGGAGCAAACAGGAUUAGAUACCCUCGUAGUC
Molecule: ribosomal RNA, 439 nt
Filed under: uncultured bacterium
Lineage: Bacteria
Description: partial 16S ribosomal RNA
Rfam family: Bacterial small subunit ribosomal RNA
Source: RNAcentral